This 642-nucleotide ribosomal RNA is filed under the name uncultured bacterium. Its description in RNAcentral is "bacterial SSU rRNA". It matches the Rfam family "Bacterial small subunit ribosomal RNA", at positions 202 to 847 of the family's 1533-position model. The record is from RNAcentral.
AAAAGAAUUAUCGCUGAUAGAUGGGCAUGCGUUCCAUUAGAUAGUUGGUGAGGUAACGGCUCACCAAGUCCACGAUGGAUAGGGGUUCUGAGAGGAAGGUCCCCCACACUGGUACUGAGACACGGACCAGACUCCUACGGGAGGCAGCAGUGAGGAAUAUUGGUCAAUGGGCGAGAGCCUGAACCAGCCAAGUCGCGUGAAGGAUGAAGGAUCUAUGGUUUGUAAACUUCUUUUAUAUGGGAAUAAAGUGAGGAACGUGUUCCUUUUUGUAUGUACCAUAUGAAUAAGCAUCGGCUAACUCCGUGCCAGCAGCCGCGGUAAUACGGAGGAUGCGAGCGUUAUCCGGAUUUAUUGGGUUUAAAGGGUGCGUAGGUGGUUAAUUAAGUCAGCGGUGAAAGUUUGUGGCUCAACCAUAAAAUUGCCGUUGAAACUGGUUGACUUGAGUAUAUUUGAGGUAGGCGGAAUGCGUGGUGUAGCGGUGAAAUGCAUAGAUAUCACGCAGAACUCCGAUUGCGAAGGCAGCUUACUAAACUAUAACUGACACUGAAGCACGAAAGCGUGGGGAUCAAACAGGAUUAGAUACCCUGGUAGUCCACGCAGUAAACGAUGAUUACUAGCUGUUUGCGAUACACAGUAAGCGGC